CUGGAUCCCAUAAAGGGAGAGGGACAGGGCCUAAAACCCACAGAAGCCCGGGGCUCGCGCCCACGGCCGCCCCCAAGCAGAACAGGGAGCCUGGACCAGAGAAGGGGCCCUGGGCUGAGGACUUGAGCAACUGAAAGAUUAUUGAAAGCCAGAGCACACAGAGCUCACCGGGGGAAGUGGAGGGGCCGGAUGCUGCUAUGGGACACUGUUACUGCGCGAAGCUGGCGAGGUGCCUGGCGAUUGGUGGCCAGGGUGGACGGAUGUGCGGGUGAAGUUAACACCGUCACAGCCACAGACGUUCCUUAGCAGAGCUGUGGAGUGUGACAAUGGUGUUUGUGUCCAAACUAUCAAACGCCAUUAUCACACUAAAUAGCUACUGUUAGGCAAUCCUUCCGCUCAAUAAAUGCUUUGGCAUCUGUUUGGAAUGAGCAAGAAGGUUCCGCUUAGAGCAGUGUUGCCAGUUAUGUGUGGUUACUGAAUAAAUUCCGGUCCCUUUAUGCUCAUAA
Myotis myotis is the source of this 506-nucleotide long non-coding RNA. RefSeq lists it as uncharacterized. The record is from RefSeq and is a predicted model, not a curated record. The transcript has 3 exons. NCBI's taxonomy places the organism in Eukaryota, Metazoa, Chordata, Mammalia, Chiroptera, Vespertilionidae.